UUUCGGCUCAACAAAUGGCCUUCUUCGGUGACAAAAGUUUUAACAAUAAUGAGAUAUAAUGUAUAAGGUGUAAACAUAGAUCACUAAUAAUACAGGUAAGUUUUGGUCGAUUGAUUUUAAUCCAAAAUCCUGAAUAUAAUAAUAUAAACACUAGACUGUAAAUUUAAUUAUUUCUUUCUAUUGAUUCCAUCUGGAUGGAGGACACCCAGUGUUUUUAUCCAAAACCUCUCCCGAUUUUCUCUUUGCCUAUUUUGCCAUGUACAAUCCUGUUCGAUCACAAGGAUCUUCAUGUGAUCAAAAUCUUUCAGAUUGUGAUCUGGUAACCUGAAAUGUUGGCUGACAGGAAUAUACGGUUUUUUUUGUGAGGUCACUCCUGUGGCCAUUGAGGCGUUUGUGAAAUGGCUGCAUAGAUUCACCAACAUAUUGGAGACCACAUCUAGGACACUCAAGAACGUAAAUCACGUUUGAGCUUUUGCAGUUGACAUUGCAAAAGAUCUUGUAUGUCUUUUCUGUGGUCUUACUGUGAAAUGUUGAUGAAUGCUGCAAUUGGUUGCAACAUUUGCAGCGCUUGUCCCCACAAGGCUGACAAUUACCUACAGUAUGGUUAGGUUUGGAAAGGUCAGCACGGACAAGUAUAUUUCUCAGGCUGUUAGGUUGUUUGAAGGCAAUCAUGGGAGGCUCAGGAAAGAUUUUGGAUAACUUCGAAUGUUUCUCGAUUGCUGUCCAAUGAUCACGAAUGGUCUUGAAACUAUUUCUCAGGCAUGGAUGGUAGGUGAGCACACAUGGGAUUCUUUUACUUUUCUGUUUAUCUUUGUAAGUUAGCAGACUGCUUCUGGGGAUGGAUUCCGCUUUUCGAAAACUAUUUUUGAUGUUUUUGUGUUUAUAUCCCCUUCUUUUUAAAUGUCCUUUAAGCUGCCCCAGACGUUGUUUUGCAGUGUCUUCAGAGGAGCAGAUUCGCCUUAUUCUGAGAGCUUGGCUGUAUGGAAUGCUCUUCGUGCAGUGUGGAGGAUGGCAACUUUCAGGCGACAAGUAUUGAUGAGUAUCUGUAGGUUUAGAGUAUAUAUCUGUGUUUAUUAUACCUACAGAGAGGGUGCUAGAUGUAUCAAGGAAGUUUAUGGUGGAAUUAGAUGUUUCAUGGGUGAAUUUGAUGGUAGGGUGUUGAUUGUUAGCAUUUGUUAUAAAAGUUUGUAAUUUUUGGUCUCCCUUGUCCCAUUUCAUGUCAACGUCAUCAAUAAAUCGAUACCAGGAAAGCGGUUUUUCGAUGGAGCACUCCAGCAGUUGCUUUUCAAAUUUACCCAUGAAUAUAUUGGCAUAAGAUGGAGCCAUUUUUGUACCCAUAGCAGUGCCAUUUGUCUGUAAAUAGUGUUCUCCUUGGAAUGUGAAGUUGUUCUUUUUCAAGACCAUAGUAAGCA
Molecule: long non-coding RNA, 1412 nt
Filed under: Mytilus galloprovincialis (Mediterranean mussel)
Lineage: Eukaryota; Metazoa; Mollusca; Bivalvia; Mytilida; Mytilidae
Source: RNAcentral